UCUUAUUGAUUCCUAAUUGCAUUCCAUUGUGGUCAGAAAACAGACUUUGCUCUACUUCAGUCAUUUUAAGUGAAUGAAGCCUUGUGUUGUGGUCUAGCAUAUGGCCAAUAUUUGGGAAGGUCUUUUUUAUAUUCUGAAAAAAAAAAGUAUAUCUGCUGCUAUUGGGCAGAAUGUUAUAAUUUACAGAGGUCUGUUAGGUCUAGUUGGUUCAUAAGCGUUACUCAAAUCUUCUAUUUCACUGCUUAUCUUCUGCUUAGUUCUUCUAUAUCCAUUAUUGAAGGUUGGGUAUAAAUGUCUCUAGUUGUUAUUGUUGACUUGUCUAUUUACCCCUUAAGCCUGUCAGUUUUUACUUCAUGUGUUUUGGGGCUCUUUUGCUAAGUGCAUGUAUGUUCAUAAUUGUUGUAUCUUCCCAAUGGAUUGAUCUUUUUAUCAUUAUAAAAUGUUCCUUUCUAUCUUUAGUAACAUGUUUUUCACUUUAAAGUCAACUUUGUCUGACCAGAGUAAAGCCUCUAAGUUCUCUUAUGGUUGCUGUUUGCAUAGCAUAUCCCUUUCCAUCCUUCUACUUGUAACCUAUUUGUAUCAUUGAAUCUACGGUUUUUCUCCUGCAGACAACAUACACUUGGAUCUUGGAUCUUCAUCCAAUCUGAUGAUCUAUCUCUUGAUUGAAUUGUCCAAUGAAAAUCCAUUUAUAUUUAAUGAUAUUAUAGAGAGAGUUGUAUUUAUACCUGGCAUUUCCUUGUUUUCUCUAUGUCUCAUGUCUUUUUGUUCUUCCUUUCCUCCUUCCUGCUUCCCUUUGCACUAAGCAAAUAUUGACUAGUAUAACAUUUAUACUCCUUCAAAGACUUUUCACUAUAUUUUUUGAGUUAUUUUCUUAGUGGUUAUUUUAGAGUUUACGUGUCUUAUCAGAAUCUACCUCAGAUUUAUACCAACUUAGUUCCAAUGAAAUACAGAAACGUCUCAGGAGUAAUCUUAUUCCUUACCCUUCUUUGUGUUCUACAAUUAUCACACAUACCAAAUAUAGACCUAGGUUGGAAAUUCAAUAUUACAUAGCAAAAUUUCCUGCUUUAUAGAAUUUGUGUUUCUUGAAGAAGCUGAGAGAUGUUGUGGCUCAAAUGCCACAGACUCUCAUGUUCUUACAGACUCUUGAUAGAUUUUCUCCAGGAAAUUUUCUUCAUUUGCUGCAUACCCUUAGAAAAACUUCCAGAGGGGCACCUGGGUGGCUCAGUUGGUUGAGCGUCUGCCUUUGGCUGAGGUCAUGAUCUCAGGGUCCUGGGAUUGAGUCCCACGUUGGGCUCCCUGCUCAAUGGCUAGCCUGCUUCUCCCUCACCUCCCCACUCAUGCUCUCUCCUACUACCUCUCUCUCUCUCGAAUAAAUAAAUAACAUCUUGUAAAAAAAAGAAAAGAAAAACUUCCAGAGAUUUUAAAUGGCUUUUGCUGCUCAUUAUCAUUUUCAUCAAUUAUCCUUGUUUUGCAGAGGAAUGAGAUCACACAGCCCUCACUUAGGCAUUCUUGAUGUAGAAUGCUAAAGUACAUAUACAGUUCUCAUUUCUUUUUAAGGUAUGCUUUAUAUAAACAAAGAACAAUUUUAACAAUUGUUUAAAUGGCCUAUAGCAGGGGGUAAAGACUUUCCUUUAUAUUCAGAAUGUCACUGAGCAUAUGUGUAAUAUAUUUUUUGAGUCUGUUUGGUUAAUCAGUUUACAUUCUACCCCUUGCAUCAGACAUGAUUAGAGAUGAUUUAACUGCUGUAUACACUAUGGCAAGAAAAGUAAAAAUUAACCAAGGAAAGUAAGGCAAGGGGAAAUAAGAAUUUCCAAUAACAGUGAUGAAUUUUGCUAAGUGUCUCUACUUUCUUGUUGGCUCACUAGUGUAACCAAAAGCAGAUGCAGUUUUUCAAGUGCCUGGUAUCCAUACGGGGACUAAAUCUUAUCCCAUGCCUGAGACUCACAACCUGAGUAACACUUGGGUUCUUUGGGCUGCAUUUCCCUGUAGCACUUAACCUCUGGGAUCAGCUAUCCAGCAGGAGAGUUUUAGAAGUCAUUUGUUUUUAUGCAAAUGUUCCUCCUGUCUUGUGCCAAUAUUUAUGCCUCCACACUUGUGAAUUCACAAGCCAUCUUGUUCUCAGGAAUAUUCCACUAACAUUUAUCAUUGCAUUAUCUUGAAGAAUAAUAACCAAAAUUGAAAUGUAUGAGUAAUUCUUUGGGAUUAAUUUAGAAGAGCUUGUUCAUGGCUAUGAAUAUACCGAGAUAUUUAUAAUAGACUACUGAUUCCCCCUCAGUCUCAUUAUUGUUGGUCUAUAACACCAACUCUUUGUCUUUUACUGUUAUUUUAAAUUCUGUAGUUAAGAAAACAAUAUUAAAUUCCAUCACAAUUAUCACUGGCUAAAAGAUUAGUUCUGUGGGACCUACAGUUUACUUGUAGCCAAGUAAAGGUGAUUGUAUCUCCAUUGGAAUUUAAAACCUUAGAGCUGCGUUAUUCAGCUGUGGUAAAAUCUUCUGUCUACCAAUAUUUAUUUCCAGCCUUCCUCCUUGCUAACAAAACCAUGAUUUUAUUCAGGGUGGCAAUUUGACCAGCUCCAGACAAUGAUUCAUGAUUGGUGUAGGCCAAUUACGACAGUCAUUCAUCUCUGCCACGUACCCUUUUUCCCCAGACUCGUUUGCAACUAUAGGUGGCUAUUUGAUCCAGGUCUGGUCAUGAGAUGGUAGCAGGGAGCUGCUGGAGGGCCCUCUAGGAAAUAUCUUCCUCUACUGUAAAUGGAAAUCCUUUUUUUCACCAUGUUUUUCUCUCUUAUAUAAAAAUGUACCUGCGCAAGGGGAGUAGUGUUCAAACUGUGACUGCUAUUUUGCAACAUGGACGUACGAGCCUAAGGAUAAAAAGCUGAUACCCCAAGGAUCGGCAAGACCAGAGUCUGCAUCUUUGAUGACAUUUUUUGAGCUUCUGUGCUAAGCUUGGAUCUUUAUUUUCCAAUUUAUUAGGUAAGAAAAUUAAGCCAUUUUAGGGUUUAAAUCCCUCUUAGUCAGGUGUUCUGUUGUUUAGAGCUUACAGCAUUCCAAAUAAAUACAGCAGUCCUACCAAGUUGUUACUAAAGUUUCAUGGUAUAUAGACAGUUUUGCAAAGAAUUAGAACUUAAUUAGAACUUUUGCAGAAUUAGAACUUAACCCCAAUGUGGGAUAGAACUUAAAAGAAUGCUUGAGUGAUUUAAUCAGAUAGUUAUGUCCACAGUACUUUUCAGAAUACAAGACCCUGCUUUGAUAGUUAAUUGAAAAUCCAAAUGGAACUAAGCCAUUGGGUUUUCUCCCCACUGUUUGCACCUGAAUAGAUCUGCUUGGGACUCAGCAGGAGACCCCUGUCAGAUUUGUAAAAUACCUGCAAGAAACCCCAUCCUGAAUGGAUCUCACCAAGUAUUUAUUGCUUUUAAAUGUCCUGGCAAGCAAAUUCCUACUUAGAGCUCAUCAUGAAGCAUUUGCAAGCUCUUUCCUGUCUCUCCUUUGGAAGCAGAGGGCUGCCUUGUAACCCACUGCAUCCUUUCACCCUCCAUUCUCAACCUUUACCGUGCUAUGGGCUAGGUCCACACUAAAGUAAGCAAGAACCUGUGUGUGGACUUUGCUUUUAGGGGUCUUUGUACCAUCAUAGUUGAGCUGUUACAUGGUUUGCUUCUGUUUUUAACUUAACAACCCAUCAAGGGAGGCUAACUGAAUGCAACUUUGUUACUAUUUAUAAACCCACAGGUCUGUUCCCCAUUUCCUUUUCCUAAAUGCAUCCACUAAUUCUACUACUCUUAUUUCAAAAUAUAAGAGCAGAGCCUUCCAGAAGUUACUGGGUUCCUGCCUCCUAUCAGAUUGACACCAAACUCUUAUUAAGACAAAUGGUUGUCUAUAUUUAUCCUAUAUGCUAACUAAAUUUAAUGAGCAUAGUCAUGUAUUAUAUUAGUAUGUGACUUAGAGUUUACCAGGUCCUUUCACAAUAAACUUUUUGUCAUUUAAUGUCUUUGCAAUUUUAUGUGUUGGGUAUUUUAUUCCUCUGUUUAAAAACAGGGAAGUUGAGACCCAGAGGUUAAGUGACUUGGGUCUUGUGGUGAUUCAUAGAGACAUUCCUUAGGGAGAUCAAGUGGCAUAGGGGAGGUAUUCUGAAGACCAGAACCAAAAAUACCAAUCAGGAAAGGACAACAUUGAAUCCUGAGUCCCCAGAGCCAGCACAUGAUGGCGAAGGAAGCAGGGCAAGAGGCUGGUGCGAAGAGGAGCAGGCUUGAAAGCAAGACAACAUGUGAGCAAAAUCACAUGAUAUAGUUCUUGAUAUGAACCAUAGCUACAGAAAUGCAUCUUGAGCAGUCCUGGAUUCAUCUACCUUGAGUUUUCAGCUUCUGGAAGGUAGGAUGCUUGUUUGUUUGAUGCAAAGAUUUCCAGAGACAAGUAUCACUUCUUACAUAGGUUUUAGUAUCUUGGGUAGAUUGCAAAAUCAAGAAUGCCCCGUGAAGGUGAUCGAAGAUGCUUCUAAAUAAUUCCUCAAGCUAUGGUCACAGUCUUUCUGCAGAAUUGAUGCUAUGUGUAGCAUAGGAAAAUUAUUUUGACUCCCAUGUUACAGACUAAGAAAUCUAGACUCAGAUGACUAAGAUUUCAUGUGAGCUUGUACAACUUCCAAUAGAUACCUGGGCCAAAUCCUAGACCCAUGCUUUUCCUACUGUUCCACAUGGAAGUGUAUCUCAAUGAUGGAAAAUUUCUUGUGGUUUCCUUCCCUGGCCUACACUGUGCUUUGUACAUUGAUGGUUUGGUAAAUGCAAAUAUGUGUAAACCCUCAUCCCACCAUUUAUCAGUUGCAUGACUUUGAGCAUAUUAUUUAACCACUCUGAGUCACAGCUGGCCAUUUUAAAAAUGUGCAUAUGAAGUGUUAAGUUUUUUAGUAACUAGACGGAAAUGAGACCGCCAAGGCAAGCGAGGGUCCAAGAACAGAUUUUAUUGCAGGCACCCUCGGGGAGGUUCCACGACUCACGGGGGAAAGAGAGUGAGUCGAGGAAGUCGCGCCAAGACAAGGUGGUUGGGGUUUACAUAACGUUAUAAGGCAGAACGGUUUCCUAUUGGUUGGCUCAUAUGCAAAGGAAGGAUUGCAAUCCAACCAGUCAGAGUGACCCUCACUAUGCAAAGGAAGGAUUGCAAUUCGACCAGUCAGAGUGACCCUCACUAUGCAAAGGAAGGAUUGCCAUUCGACCAGUCAAAGGUGACUUCCUCCUCUGGGGUUUGAAGGGCAUUGGGUUCGGUUGAGGAAGUCCAAAGGAGAGGUGUAAGGGUCUGCUCAAGCUGUCGUCCCAAGUGGAGGUGGUGACAGGAACCUCAGCCAUUUUGGCGUAUCCGCCAUCUUGAGGAGUUUCCCUUCCCGCCUGGCCCCAACAUUCCGACCUUUUGUUUUAUAUAAUGGUGUCGGGGGCGUCGACUCUGCUCUGGCUACUUCCUGCUGACGGUGGGGCGUCGUUGUAGGGAUAGUCGGAUGUGGGCAGGCCAGAGUAUGGGUGAAGUAAAAGUUGGUUGACAGAUACCCGGGUGAGUUCUUGCAGGUGUUCCUAUAAACAUCGAAACAAGCAAGGGGCGACAGAGAUGAGAAGAAGGAUUAGGCAUAGGGGUCCCGCCAAAGGGAGU
This 5624-nucleotide long non-coding RNA is filed under the name Canis lupus familiaris (dog). Its description in RNAcentral is "lncRNA (ENSCAFG00845001680.1)". The record is from RNAcentral. Lineage: Eukaryota; Metazoa; Chordata; Mammalia; Carnivora; Canidae.